This 33-nucleotide small nuclear RNA is filed under the name Cervus elaphus hippelaphus. Lineage: Eukaryota; Metazoa; Chordata; Mammalia; Artiodactyla; Cervidae. The record is from RNAcentral.
UGCUUGCUUCAGCAGCACAUAUACUCAAAUGGG